CCCUUAGAUGUUCUGGGCUGCACGCGUGCUUCAAUGAAGCGUCCAACAAGAUGCGAAGCCGAAAGGCUCAGCGGAUCUUUGAAGUCGUUUCGUGACCGGGACAGUUGAUUGCAAUUAUUCGACUCGAACGAGGAAUUCCUUGUAAUCGCGAUUCAUCAUAUCGCGCUGAAUACGUCCCUGCCCUUUGUACACACCGCCCGUCGCUCCUACCGAUUGAGCGAUCCGGUGAAUUAUUUGGAGUGUCCACGCAAGCCAAUCCGUUUACGUGGGUGCGAAAUUUUGUAAACCUUAUCGCUUAGAGGAAGGAAAAGUCGUAACA
RNAcentral lists this ribosomal RNA (319 nucleotides) under uncultured eukaryote. Its description in RNAcentral is "partial 18S ribosomal RNA". It matches the Rfam family "Eukaryotic small subunit ribosomal RNA", at positions 1470 to 1796 of the family's 1831-position model. The record is from RNAcentral.